This 213-nucleotide unclassified non-coding RNA is filed under the name Hevea brasiliensis (rubber tree). Lineage: Eukaryota; Viridiplantae; Streptophyta; Magnoliopsida; Malpighiales; Euphorbiaceae. The record is from RNAcentral.
GAAUCAUCUCUUUCUACAGUUAGUUUCUUGAUUCUCUACAUUUAUAGGAGAUACGUUACAUUUGUGAAAAACGCGACUUGCCUUGUAACAGAUGAUACAUCCAUUUUGCAUUGAUAUUAUUGCCGAUUCACUAUGGUUUGUGGCUUACUUUCUGAAUUGCCCAAUAUAGUAUUGAUCCCUUCAAAAUUUCAUUACAUAUUAGCCGAUAUGACA